This 292-nucleotide ribosomal RNA is filed under the name uncultured bacterium. RNAcentral's name for it is "partial 16S ribosomal RNA". It matches the Rfam family "Bacterial small subunit ribosomal RNA", at positions 505 to 796 of the family's 1533-position model. The record is from RNAcentral.
GUGUCAGCCGCCGCGGUAAUACGUAGGGGGCUAGCGUUGUCCGGAAUCAUUGGGCGUAAAGCGCGUGUAGGCGGCUCGGUAAGUCCGCUCUGAAAGCCCGAGGCUCAACCUCGGGAGGCGGGUGGAUACUGCCGGGCUCGAGUCCGGAAGAGGCGAGUGGAAUUCCCGGUGUAGCGGUGAAAUGCGCAGAUAUCGGGAGGAACACCAAUGGCGAAGGCAGCUCGCUGGGACGGUACUGACGCUGAGACGCGAAAGCGUGGGGAGCAAACAGGAUUAGAAACCCGGGUAGUCC